GCGGCCGUCCCGGGCGCGCGCCUCAUUCGAGGCGACGGGCUCCGGGCCCUGAUAGAUGGGGUGCGGGGACGGAGACAAAUGACGGCCUUUGGGCUCGGAAUACCUACCUUUCUUGUAAUGCAGCCCAGCGGGUCCCAGCCUCGUUUUCCAGCCCUCACUCAAAAUGGAGUCGCUCUGGUUCGAACGCCUCUGACAAGUGUGUACCUACGUGUCAGGGUUGGAGUGCCGUGGUGUGAUCAUAGCUCACUGCAGCCUCAAACCUCUGGGCUGAAGCCAUCCUUCCACCUCAGCCUCCCAAGUAGCUGGGACCAUAGGCGCAUGGCACUGUGCCUGGCACUGUCUGAAUGCAUACAGUUGCGUAGCAUUGUGGUAAGAACGCCUGCCCUGACAUCACACAGACCUGCAUCCACAUCCCAGCUGAGCCUCGGUUCUCACAUCUGCAAAAUGGGGAGAACAGCAGCAGCAGCAUCCUGAGGCUGGGGUGAGGACCGAGUGAAAAACUUUUGUCGCAUC
Pongo pygmaeus (Bornean orangutan) is the source of this 513-nucleotide long non-coding RNA. RefSeq lists it as uncharacterized. The record is from RefSeq and is a predicted model, not a curated record. NCBI's taxonomy places the organism in Eukaryota, Metazoa, Chordata, Mammalia, Primates, Hominidae. The transcript is spliced from 4 exons.